This 65-nucleotide transfer RNA is filed under the name Triticum aestivum (bread wheat). It matches the Rfam family "tRNA", at positions 5 to 66 of the family's 71-position model. Rfam says of the family: Transfer RNA (tRNA) molecules are approximately 80 nucleotides in length. Their secondary structure includes four short double-helical elements and three loops (D, anti-codon, and T loops). The record is from Rfam by way of RNAcentral. Lineage: Eukaryota; Viridiplantae; Streptophyta; Magnoliopsida; Poales; Poaceae. RNAcentral also lists the same sequence under 1 other name.
UCUUCGUUCAGUUCGGUAGAACGUGUGUCUCCAAAACCCAAUGUCGUAGGUUCAAAUCCUACAGA